GACGAACGCUGGCGGCGUGCUUAACACAUGCAAGUCGAACGGAAAGGCCCUGCUUGCAGGGUACUCGAGUGGCGAACGGGUGAGUAACACGUGGGUGAUCUGCCCUGUACUUCGGGAUAAGCCUGGGAAACUGGGUCUAAUACCGGAUAGGAGCCAUUCUUAGUGUGAUGGUUGGAAAGUUUUUUCGGUGUAGGAUGAGCUCGCGGCCUAUCAGCUUGUUGGUGGGGUAAUGGCCUACCAAGGCGGCGACGGGUAGCCGGCCUGGGGGGGUGGACGGCCACAAUGGGGCUGGGGUACGGCCCAGGCUCCUUCGGGGGGGAACAGUGGGGGAUAAUGCACAAUGGGGGCAAGCCUGAUGCAGCGACGCCGCGGGGGGGAUGAAGGGCUUCGGGUUGGAAACUCCUUUCGCUAGGGACGAAGCUUUUUGUGACGGUACCUAGAUAAGAAGCACCGGCUAACUACGUG
RNAcentral lists this ribosomal RNA (465 nucleotides) under uncultured bacterium. RNAcentral describes it as "partial 16S ribosomal RNA". It matches the Rfam family "Bacterial small subunit ribosomal RNA", at positions 28 to 507 of the family's 1533-position model. The record is from RNAcentral.